AUCGCUUCUCGGCCUUUUGGCUAAGAUCAAGUAUAGUAUCUGUUCUUAUCAGUUUAAUAUGUUCCAAAAGGGCAGAUGGAAAAGAGGUGGAAUAGAUGUACUCAGAAGACAGGGCUACCAAGAUAUGGGAAUGGUUUGAAAGCCUUAUGAGUUAUAUGGGGUUGAAAAUUUA
Molecule: small nuclear RNA, 172 nt
Filed under: Zalophus californianus (California sea lion)
Lineage: Eukaryota; Metazoa; Chordata; Mammalia; Carnivora; Otariidae
Description: U2 spliceosomal RNA (ENSZCAG00015002072.1)
Rfam family: U2 spliceosomal RNA
About the family: U2 is a small nuclear RNA (snRNA) component of the spliceosome (involved in pre-mRNA splicing). Complementary binding between U2 snRNA (in an area lying towards the 5' end but 3' to hairpin I) and the branchpoint sequence (BPS) of the intron results the bulging out of an unpaired adenosine, on the BPS, which initiates a nucleophilic attack at the intronic 5' splice site, thus starting the first of two transesterification reactions that mediate splicing.
Source: RNAcentral